Molecule: non-coding RNA, 75 nt
Organism: Podarcis lilfordi (Lilford's wall lizard)
Lineage: Eukaryota; Metazoa; Chordata; Lepidosauria; Squamata; Lacertidae
Source: the annotation of a GenBank genome assembly
ACCUAGCUAGCUCAGUUGGUUAAGAGUGUGGUGCUGAUAAUGCCAAGGUUGCAGGUUCAGUCCCCAUAUGGGACA